RNAcentral lists this ribosomal RNA (305 nucleotides) under uncultured bacterium. RNAcentral describes it as "bacterial SSU rRNA". It matches the Rfam family "Bacterial small subunit ribosomal RNA", at positions 337 to 657 of the family's 1533-position model. The record is from RNAcentral.
GCCUACGGGAGGCAGCAGUGGGGAAUAUUGGACAAUGGGGGGAACCCUGAUCCAGCGACGCCGCGUGAGUGAAGAAGUAUUUCGGUAUGUAAAGCUCUAUCAGCAGGGAAGAAAGAAAUGACGGUACCUGACUAAGAAGCCCCGGCUAACUACGUGCCAGCAGCCGCGGUAAUACGUAGGGGGCAAGCGUUAUCCGGAUUUAUUGGGUUUAAAGGGUGCGCAGGCGGAGGCACAAGUCAGCGGUAAAAUCGCGGGGCUCAACCCCGCUCCGCCGUUGAAACUGUGUCCCUUGAGUGCGCGAAGGG